GACGUAGGAGGCGAGCGUUAUCCGGAUUCACUGGGCGUAAAGCGCAUGUAGGCGGUCGAGAAAGUCCGUUGUGCAAGCCCCUGGCUCAACUGGGGGAGGCCAAGGGAGACUAACCGACUUGAGGGCAGCAGAGGAGCGUGGAACUCCCGGUGUAGCGGUGGAAUGCGUAGAGAUCGGGAAGAACACCAGUGGCGAAGGCGGCGCUCUGGGCUGCGACUGACGCUGAGAUGCGAAAGUGUGGGGAGCAAAC
This 250-nucleotide ribosomal RNA is filed under the name uncultured bacterium. Its description in RNAcentral is "partial 16S ribosomal RNA". It matches the Rfam family "Bacterial small subunit ribosomal RNA", at positions 524 to 773 of the family's 1533-position model. The record is from RNAcentral.